CCUACGGGGGGCAGCAGUGGGGAAUAUUGCACAAUGGGGGAAACCCUGAUGCAGCCAUGCCGCGUGUGUGAAGAAGGCCUUCGGGUUGUAAAGCACUUUCAGCGAGGAGGAAAGGUUAGUAGUUAAUACCUGCUAGCUGUGACGUUACUCGCAGAAGAAGCACCGGCUAACUCCGUGCCAGCAGCCGCGGUAAUACGGAGGGUGCGAGCGUUAAUCGGAAUUACUGGGCGUAAAGCGUGCGCAGGCGGUUUGUUAAGCGAGAUGUGAAAGCCCCGGGCUCAACCUGGGAACCGCAUUUCGAACUGGCAAACUAGAGUCUUGUAGAGGGGGGUAGAAUUCCAGGUGUAGCGGUGAAAUGCGUAGAGAUCUGGAGGAAUACCGGUGGCGAAGGCGGCCCCCUGGACAAAGACUGACGCUCAGGCACGAAAGCGUGGGGAGCAAACAGGAUUAGAUACCCUUGUAGUC
This 465-nucleotide ribosomal RNA is filed under the name uncultured bacterium. RNAcentral describes it as "bacterial SSU rRNA". It matches the Rfam family "Bacterial small subunit ribosomal RNA", at positions 338 to 795 of the family's 1533-position model. The record is from RNAcentral.